RNAcentral lists this non-coding RNA (21 nucleotides) under Arabidopsis thaliana (thale cress). The record is from RNAcentral. Lineage: Eukaryota; Viridiplantae; Streptophyta; Magnoliopsida; Brassicales; Brassicaceae.
CUUACUUCUAACGGCUCAGAA